GUUCUUGUAGUUGAAUUACAACGAUGAUUUUUCAUGUCAUUGGUCGCAGUUAAAUGCUGUGUGAGAACA
RNAcentral lists this transfer RNA (69 nucleotides) under Mus minutoides (Southern African pygmy mouse). RNAcentral's name for it is "tRNA-Glu". The record is from RNAcentral. Lineage: Eukaryota; Metazoa; Chordata; Mammalia; Rodentia; Muridae.